Molecule: long non-coding RNA, 6560 nt
Filed under: Lathyrus oleraceus (garden pea)
Lineage: Eukaryota; Viridiplantae; Streptophyta; Magnoliopsida; Fabales; Fabaceae
Description: Pisum sativum (pea) long non-coding RNA (PSAT_LNC021909)
Source: RNAcentral
AAUGUUUACUCUUCUUUCUUCUCCUAACUCUACUCUCAUUUGCAACAUCAACACCAUCAAGUUUCAUCAAAACCUCAUGUGCACCACACAAUACCCUACACUUUGUGUUUUUCAAUCUCUAUCUGUCUAUGCAUCACAAGUCCAACAAGAUCAACAGUUAGUCAAGCUUAUCUUAGUCUCAACAAAUCAAUCCACAAAAGGCUUUGUUACAAUGUGCAAAGCGUCAAAAAUCUUAAAACCAUCAGAAUGCUGCUCUUCAUGAUUGUGCUGAGAAAUCAAGUGAUAGUGUUGAUAGGCUUAGCCGUUCAUUGAAAGAGCUUCACUCUGCAAGAUCAACGGUCAGGAUUCAAUUGGCAUAUAAGCAAGUGGGACAUGGGUUAGCUCAGCUUUGACAGAUGAGAGCACUUGUGGGAUGGAUUUAGUGGAAAAGCACUUGAUGGAAAAAUCAAGCUUCUAUUAGAUCUAAGAAUGGUUAAUGUUGCUCAAGUUACUAGUAAAUGCUCUUUACUUACUUAUCAAUAUGCUGCUAAACACUAGUAAAGAUCAAACACUAGGAAUCAAAGGUUUGCUUUUAGGUGUGGAGAUGCCUUUAAUGUUGUUGGUUUUUUUUUGUUUUAAUUUAUGUGGUGUGUAAUGUGUAAUUAUAUCUAUAUUUAUAUAAUAUAAAGAGAGACAUAACUUUGUCAAGUGUGAAAUAAAUUUUCUAUUGAUUUAUUGAUUUUUUAUUUGCAAAAUUCUUUGGAUUGAUGUAUGAAAAUGUUCAAAAUUUAUCUUUCUAUCUCGGCCUCAACCCAAUAGGUGUCUGUAAGAUUUUUUUUUUGGAUUAUUUCAAAGUUUAGAACCAAAUAUACUUCUUGAUGGAUUUUGGCAAGUGAACCAAAAUUUGUCAAGUAGUAUAAUUUUAAAGAGAUUGUAUCUACAAGAAUGUUAUAAUUCACGGGACGAUAAUGAUUAUACUUGUUUAAAAAAAUGUAAUAAUUAGUAAUGAAAGGGUACAUAUUAUUGGAAUUCCUUAAUAAUUCAAAUGCUUCAUAGAAGCUUUAAAAAGCACUGCAUGAAAAUAGUUAUUGAUAUGGUUUUGGAAAAAAGCUGUUUUUUUAAUUCUUUUUUUCUGUUAAUUCUUGGCCUGUUUGUGGUAUCCAUUUUGUACCCUAUAAAUAGACAUUGUAGUAUAGUUGAGGUAUAAGCCAUAUAUUCAAUUCUCUCAAUCUUUCUCUAUUUCUCUAUCUCUCUUAUCUCACAUUAUCAUUUUCAUUGCUUCCCAAACACAACUGUCUAUGUCACCACUGCUUUUGGUUUUCGCAACAUUUGGUAUCAGAAGCUUGUUUUGAAUCCAAUUCCGUCUGCAAUCAUGUCCGGUCAAACGAUAAAAUACACUACCAAAUCGUGCCUCCUCGUGACUCGAAAAACUGACGACAAUGGCGAGACAAAUGAAGGGGUUUGUUCGCUAUCAACGUUCUUGGGAUGCAAAGAUGUGUGGGGUGACGGGUGGUUCGUCGAAGAGAGCAUCCGGAUGCUCAAAAGGCUACAUGAUAAAAGAGAAAAGAAGAAGGAUUUACAAACGUGUGUUUUGAUCCAUUCUUGUGUCGAUGCGUGAAAACUUUGAAAAAGUAGGCCAUUGCCGAUUCGCCAGCAAGCGAGGGAUUUGAGAAGGCUUAUGCAGGGGUACCAAGCCAAAUGUGUGAGGUUACUAAACUCACAGCGGACAGUCGAGUUAAUGCAAAAUCGGAGGACAAGGAGUCGAUAAAACGAUUAUGCUGACGCGUAUACGCGUGUAUGUGAAUCAAAUAAGUCGUGCGGGAGAAAACUACGGUUAGAGCGGAAUGUUUUGUGUCGAAGAUCUUGCCUUCUUUAACGCCAAGAUUCACGAACAUUGUCGUUCGCGCUUGAAGAAAUCGAGAGAUUUAUCUGCAUUGAUCGAAGGGAGGAGCUCAAAGCUCACUAGAAGCUCUAUGAAGCAAUGGAUAGAGGAAACGAUAAGCGAAGUCGGAAGUAGCUUGCUGCAAGCAGCGACUCAUGAAAGAGUAAGACGAUCAAAGGAAAAGGGCAUCGAGAGGGGUCCAAUUUCCAAAUUUGUGUGGUAAGAGUCACAAAAUUCCAAAGGCAAACGGUGAGGAAGCUCCAAGAGGGUGAUAAGGAACCCACAAAGCCAUUGACGAAGUACGUGAAGUGUGUACAAUCUGUCAAAGCUUGAAGGAUUUCGCAAAGUUUUGCCGCGACGAAGAGAAAUCGAAUGGGCUGAGGCGGAAAGCUUUGCUAAGGAAGAAGCGAAUAUGAUAUACGCUUUGUGAUGAAUCAGGAGAGAAAUCUCGAUGCCCAUGACGACAAAGCGGGGCCGGACGCGCGUUCCGGCGGCAGUGUGCAGACGAAUUCUGGCAGUAAGACGCGAGUUCAGGACGGAAACGCCAAUGGUAGCGUCUCGAGGAUGCAAUUCAAGAGUAGAACGAGUGGUAGUUGCGAUUCUGAGGUCUGGGAGCUCACUCAUACGGAGAAGAUUGUUUGUCCAAAUUCCAAUCGAGCAGCAAGAUUAAAGUGAGAUUGCGAUGAUACGGAUGUUAUCCCGAUGGCCGGGUUGGAAUGUCUGUGAUGCCGCUGAAAGAAGCUGAUGCGGUUCAAUUGAUCUAAGGAUGGUCUGUGACGAUUCGGAGGAUCGAAUGUAAUCUCUUGGCAGUGGCAACUGUUGGUACCCAGAGGCCAAUUUUGGUAUUGUAGUGAAUUAUUUUAUAUAGAAUGAGGCUUUAUUUUUAUUAACGUCCUUGUUUAGAUAGAUCCCCCGCGAGCUGUCGCGGCGCCGCGCCGCCGGCUAGCGAUUCAUAUAGGCUAGUCGUGCGCGGCCGCUUUAAUGCUAGUCAGUACAUUAAUCAUGAGAUGAGCAUAACCAUUAAGGACGACUAUUCUUAACGGUAGUCACGUAGAUCGAGCUGUCGGACUUAUUGUGCAAGUCCGGGCGGGGGAUGCCAUUAAACCAUUAAGACCUACAUAGCGUGGUAUAUAGCCUGGAUGAUGCACAUCUCAGUGGAUAUGGAUAGCGGAUGGAGUUAUCAAGUCUUAAAUAGGUGAUCUUAAGAUAUAUUCUAUAGCCGUAUGACGGGCGCUACUGGAUCUGAUAUAUAAGUUAUGCAGGUGUUCCGUAUCUAUCUUCCUCAUGGUAUACUGGUCGUUAUCAAUCUUCGACCGUGAACCCAGUCUUGGACCCUCGAUGUUCGGUGCUUAUAUUGUGAUUCCAACUGUUGUCGAAUGCUCAUAACCAUAAAGACAUGGCAUGGGUCUCCGGGUCGGCAAUGUUGACGGGCGCAUGAGUGGACCUAGAUGGAUCUUUGCCAUCCUACUACAAGGAUAAUGUUAUGGCCAAUGAUUGAAUGGAAGGAUAGCCGGCUCUAUGCUUUCUUCAAUCUGUACUAGAAUUCAAUCGGCAAAGCGAUACUAAUAAUGAUAACAGACAGAGACUUGUCAGAGUCUGAUUUUCGGUGUCGUUGGGUCGCGUUCAUGUGACUGUGCUGUACGGAUACGCUCACUUUAAUUAUGCUCGAUACGAUGAUUUCACCUGAUAUUUACGCAUGCGCGAUAACGCUAGCAGGUCACAAAAGGCGGGGGUUAUGGGAGAUGACGGAUAAUAGAGAACACGUAAGGUAGGGUGCCCUUAGUGAAUUGUGGUGAAUCGUCGUCUNGUCGACUUAUUUAACAUUAUAAAUGUAUAUGGAUAUGUAGGUCAACCUAUUUAACAUUUUUUAAAUAUAUAUAUAUAUAUAUAUAUAUAUAUAUAUCAUCCUAUUUAGACUAUUUUUAAUAUAUAUAAAAAUAUAGACGGGUUUAUAAGAUUUCAUAGACUUUUUUAAUAGCCUAAGCCUGACCUACUUAAUUAAAUAAUAUUUUUUAAUAGUCUAAUCCUGACCUAUUUAAUUAAAUAGGUUUUUACAAAAACCUAAGUCUGAAUUUUUUAUUAAAUAGGUUUAGGGUUUAGUCCUUUAUAGACUAAUCUGACCUAUUAUUAUCCCUAAUUACAAUCAACCAAAAUUUAGUGUAACCAAAUAAAUUAGAACCUACUCUAUUAUAAUGUGAAGAAACACAAUCAAGCGUAAGAGGAAAACGAUAUUUUAACGUUUGAUAGUUUAAAAAAAAAGUUUUGUUCCAAAUUACAUGUUACAUUUGAGUAUUUUACACGUAUUAAGAAAGUGUGAUAAAUAAAAGAGAGAAUAUCAAUUUUAUCAUUGGUGCAUUCUAAUGAUCAUAAAUGCCAAGUGAGAAUAACCGGAGAGUGAUAUAGAUAGUAUUAAUUGAAGGGUAACAUUGGAAGCAAAAAUUAAAUUUGUAUUGGAAACUAAAAGCAAACAUUUAUUUUGAAACAAAUAAUUUAUUAAAAUGCGAUAUUUAUUUUGGGACGGAGAGAGUAUCAUUUCUUAUGUAAAGAGAACUCGAUACCCUGGACUCUUUCUGAUUUUAAUUAUAUUGGAUUGUUGAUGGAGAGUAUGGGUUUUUGAGAUGAUAUAUCCUGGUUUUGGGGUGUUAGAUAGAGGAGAGAGCUUUUUGUUUUUGAGCGUGACCUAGUCGGUAACCCUGUCGCAACGAGCUAGAGUACAAACAUCUUCCAUGACGAUGACACGUAGUCAUGUAAUCCGGAUGAAAAUGAGGUGUAUUUGGUUAAAUAAACUUUUUAGCUUUGUUAAAUACUAGACUUCUCGUUGAUGAGUCUAAUAAUGAAGUUGAUUCUAUUAUGCCUCUUGUUGGAAGAAGUUGAUCCAUUCUAAAGUUAUUGUCUUCUCCUAAAAGCUUCUCCAAGAUCGAAUUCUGGCGAGGGAUAAUCUAUGUGGCUGUUGAAUUAUAAUAGGCUCUGGUGAAUUAAUGUGCACUUUUUGUCAAGGCUCUACAUAAUUUGUUAAUCAUAUUUUCAUUACUCAUCAGGUGACAUCUAACUUGUAAUAUAAUAUUUUUAGGUGUUUUGGGUGGACUUUUGUGUACCUAGAGAAAUAGUUUGUUAUUCGAGACUGUCAUAUCUUUAGAGAAGAAGUCUAGUGGUAGAGUUUGACCUACCUUAAUUUGACACUAUCAUGUGAACCUUAUGAAAAUUCCAAAAUGAACAUUUUUUUUCAAAUAAGACAUCAACAAUGGAGGAAUUGGAGAAUCAAAUUCUCUUCGCCUCUUAGAAUUGGUUUCUUACUAGAACUUCGAUUUAUUCUCGCAUGUUCUUUAAUUGGAUGGUGGAUCAUAUCUUCAGAAUCGAUAGAUGUUGAAGGAACCACUUUUCCAGCCUCAAGAGUAGUUUAUUGUUCAAAUGGUGAUUAUGGCCUUUGGUAUAUUUCCAAAACUUUUAUAACUAAAGGUCUUUGUAGUCUUUAUUAUAUAUGUAUACUUAGGAAUCGUUAACAUCAUCAUCAGUGUCAGAUUUAACUUACUUAAAUCUCUCAAUAACUCUUCGUAAAUGAUUAAUUAAAUUAAUCAAUCUUAUUAUUGAAUUAAUAGAUACUAUCAGAUAGAUUAAGUCUAUAAAAUUUUAUAAAAUUUAAAAAAAUCAUUUGAUAUUCAAUCACGUCAAUUAUAUUAUUUUAACAUAUAAUAAAUAUCAACUAUUAAAAUAUAUAAUAAUGGAUGUUUAAAUUGUUUGAUACUUUUAUACAUGAUCAUCAUAUAUAAUUUAAUGUUAAGAUUGAUUUAAUUCUUAAUUUAGAAAGAAUUAUAGAAAGUGUAUAUGUUAAGUUUGACCCAUGGUGUCAAUAGUGUAUUGAUUUUAUAUAUAUAUUGUUGGCUUGUCAAAUUCAAGUUUCUCCAUUUAUAUAAUUUACCCUUUAAUUUAUUUUACACGCUUUAUUUUAGAUUCUCUCUUAUUUUAUCUAAAUAGUGGACCCCACCAUGCAGAGUUAGGCACAUGAUAAUGAUAUAGUUGGGAACUAUUGACUCACAAGCCCAAACCCCAUCUAUAUCUCUAUAUAAUAUCUACAUUCUUAUUCUCACAAAUCACAACCAAACCUCAAAACAAAACCUCUUUUUUCUCUCUACCAAACAUGGCAACAAUGUUUACUCUUCUUUUCCUUCUCCUAACUCUACUCUCAUUUGCAACAUCAACACCAUCAAGUUUCAUCAAAACCUCAUGUAGCACCACACAAUACCCUACACUUUGUGUUCAAUCUCUAUCUGUCUAUGCAUCCACAAUCCAACAAGAUCCACACCAGUUAGUCCAAACAGCUUUAUCCCUUAGUCUCAACAAAACUCAAUCCACAAAAGGCUUUGUUACAAUGUGCAAAAGCUUCAAAAAUCUUAAACCAUCAGAAUAUGCUGCUCUUCAUGAUUGUGCUGAAGAAAUCAGUGAUAGUGUUGAUAGGCUUAGCCGUUCAUUGAAAGAGCUUAAACUCUGCAAGAUCAACGGUCAAAAAGCUUCAAAAAUCUUAAACCAUCAGAAUAUGCUGCUCUUCAUGAUUGUGCUGAAGAAAUCAGUGAUAGUGUUGAUAGGCUUAGCCGUUCAUUGAAAGAGCUUAAACUCUGCAAGAUCAACGGUCAGGAUUUCAAUUGGCAUAUAAGCAAUGUGGAGACAUGGGUUAGCUCAGCUUUGACAGAUGAGAGCACUUGUG